Ornithodoros turicata is the source of this 400-nucleotide long non-coding RNA. RefSeq lists it as uncharacterized. The record is from RefSeq and is a predicted model, not a curated record. The transcript is spliced from 4 exons. Lineage: Eukaryota; Metazoa; Arthropoda; Arachnida; Ixodida; Argasidae.
UGUUCGGCUGUUAACCCCGCAAUCUCCGCGGCUGCUUGUAGCUGUUCCCUCAACUGCUCCAUAUACUUAGUAAGAGUGACGCGAAGCUGUGGUGGGACGUCUACCUCGCCUGCCCAAGUACCCUUUAUGAUGGACAGCGGCCCAUCACACACCACAGAAGCUGAAAGGGGGACACGCCGGAGGUGUCGUGGGGCACUUCCCGAUAUGCCCACAACAGGGAGGUAAUAUGAAGCUCUCUGUAUCUGCCCUGCUACUGUGCUUCGUCCUUGUUCUGCAUGAAGUCAACCAGGCAUCAGCCGGUACGGCAUCCGACAUCCAAGACCGCAUCAAUGCCGCCGUACGUCAGGUGCAACAGAUGAAUCGACUUCCCGUUGGUGACACCGAAGUUCGCAACGCUGCC